This 405-nucleotide ribosomal RNA is filed under the name Cemophora coccinea (scarlet snake). Its description in RNAcentral is "partial 16S ribosomal RNA". It matches the Rfam family "Bacterial large subunit ribosomal RNA", at positions 1944 to 2608 of the family's 2925-position model. Lineage: Eukaryota; Metazoa; Chordata; Lepidosauria; Squamata; Colubridae. The record is from RNAcentral.
AACCGUGCAAAGGUAGCGUAAUCAUUUGUCUACUAAUUAUAGACCUGUAUGAAAGGCAAAAUGAGGAUUUAACUGUCUCUUAUAAUAAAUCAAUUAAACUGAUCUCCUAGUAAAAAAGCUAGAAUAAUAACAUAAGACCAGAAGACCCUGUGAAGCUUAAAUCAAACUAUUAAACCAUAUAAUAACUACUUUCGGUUGGGGCGACCUUGGAAAAAAAAAGAACUUCCAAGACCCAGCACAGCUGAUAAUUGAACCAAGUUACUCCAGGGAUAACAGCGCAAUCUUCUUCAAGAGCCCAUAUCAAAAAGAAGGUUUACGACCUCGAUGUUGGAUCAGGACAUCCUAAUGGUGCAGCCGCUAUUAAGGGUUCGUUUGUUCAACGAUUAACAGUCCUACGUGAUCUGA